RNAcentral lists this unclassified non-coding RNA (197 nucleotides) under plant metagenome. Its description in RNAcentral is "partial contains small subunit ribosomal RNA, internal transcribed spacer 1, and 5.8S ribosomal RNA". The record is from RNAcentral.
UCUCCGUUGGUGAACCAGCGGAGGGAUCAUUACCGAGUGCAAACUCAUAACCCUUUGUGAACCUAUAUCUGUUGCUUCGGCGGCUCGCUCUCGGGCGAGCCCGCCGGUAAUAUCAGUAUCUCUGUUUGAACCCGACGAUACUUCUGAGAGUUCUUAGCGAACAGUUAAAACUUUUAACAACGGAUCUCUUGGCUCUA